This 582-nucleotide long non-coding RNA is filed under the name Elaeis guineensis (African oil palm). RNAcentral's name for it is "long non-coding RNA (EGUI_LNC076511)". Lineage: Eukaryota; Viridiplantae; Streptophyta; Magnoliopsida; Arecales; Arecaceae. The record is from RNAcentral.
UGUGUUGCGUCUCUCCGAACCCCCUCGAUCGUUCGAACUUUUUCGAUAAUGAGCUUCUGCAUUCAUCUACCAGGCCGCCUCAAAAGCUCUCUUGGCCUCACUGCUAGUCGACCUUCUACAGUAAUCAACUAUUCUCCGAAUCCCUUUCGGAUCCCAACCGAGCUCCCACGAGAGCCUAACUUCUACUACGAGCAGUCUACUCCGAAUUCCUACAGCGGGUUGUAUACCCCAGAUAUCUACUGUAAGCAAAUUCUAUUCGAGCCUCUGCUGUAAACAAAUUUCUUCCGAACUUCUAUUACAGGUAGACUUCAGUCGAACUUCUUCGUAGUCGGAUCCCAGACGAUCUUCUACCAUGGGGCAGGAUCCACCGGCCAGGUUGUUACUCCGAGCUCCCACGACAAUCGAUCUUCGGCCGAGCUCCUAUAAUAAGCGGCCUCCUUUUGGCCUCCUUCAAGAAUCGGGCUCCGUCCGAACUUCCACAGCGGAUGGAUUCUGGAUGAGCUUCUGCAAAGACCAGACUCCGUCCGAACUUCUACAGUGAAUGGAUUCCAGACGAGCUUCUGCAAGGACUGGACUCCGUCC